GAUGAACGCUGGCGGCGUGCCUAAUACAUGCAAGUCGAGCGAACAGACGAGGAGCUUGCUCCUCUGACGUUAGCGGCGGACGGGUGAGUAACACGUGGAUAACCUACCUAUAAGACUGGGAUAACUUCGGGAAACCGGAGCUAAUACCGGAUAAUAUAUUGAAUCGCAUGGUUCAAUAGUGAAAGACGGUUUUGCUGUCACUUAUAGAUGGAUCCGCGCCGCAUUAGCUAGUUGGUAAGGUAACGGCUUACCAAGGCAACGAUGCGUAGCCGACCUGAGAGGGUGAUCGGCCACACUGGAACUGAGACACGGUCCAGACUCCUACGGGAGGCAGCAGUAGGGAAUCUUCCGCAAUGGGCGAAAGCUUGACGGAGCAACGCCGCGUGAGUGAUGAAGGUCUUCGGAUCGUAAAACUCUGUUAUUAGGGAAGAACAAAUGUGUAAGUAACUAUGCACGUCUUGACGGUACCUAAUCAGAAAGCCACGGCUAACUACGU
Molecule: ribosomal RNA, 496 nt
Filed under: uncultured bacterium
Lineage: Bacteria
Description: partial 16S ribosomal RNA
Rfam family: Bacterial small subunit ribosomal RNA
Source: RNAcentral